Molecule: small RNA, 95 nt
Filed under: Salmonella enterica
Lineage: Bacteria; Pseudomonadati; Pseudomonadota; Gammaproteobacteria; Enterobacterales; Enterobacteriaceae
Also listed under: 3 other names
Description: partial RtT sRNA
Rfam family: RtT RNA
About the family: This family represents a bacterial cis-regulatory element known as RtT RNA. The exact function of RtT is unknown although it is thought that it may be involved in changing the cellular response in relation to amino acid starvation.
Source: RNAcentral
AACAUCAAACUCAGAUGUUGAACGUGAAGGAUAACGUUGCGUCAGCAACGGCCCGUAGGGCGAGGCGAAGCCGAGUCAUCCUGCACGACCCACCA